GAUGAACGCUAGCGGCAGGCCUAAUACAUGCAAGCCGAACGGUAAGAUUGGUAGCAAUACUGAUCUGAGAGUGGCGUACGGGUGCGUAACACGUAUGCAACCUACCCGAAACUGGAGGAUAGCUCAGGGAAACUUGGAUUAACCCUCCAUAAGAUCGUGUACAGGCAUCUGUAUGCGAUAAAAACCGCGAGGUGGUUUCGGAUGGGCAUGCGCAUGAUUAGCUAGUUGGUGGUGUNNCGGACUACCAAGGCGAUGAUCAUUAGGGGACCUGAGAGGGUGAUCCCCCACACUGGCACUGAGAUACGGGCCAGACUCCUACGGGAGGCAGCAGUAGGGAAUAUUGGUCAAUGGGUGCAAGCCUGAACCAGCCAUGCCGCGUGCAGGAAGACGGCCUUCUGGGUUGUAAACUGCUUUUGCCAGGGGAUAAAAGACCGAUGCGUCGGGAAUUGAAGGUACCUGGUGAAUAAGCCACGGCUAACUAC
RNAcentral lists this ribosomal RNA (482 nucleotides) under uncultured Bacteroidota bacterium. Its description in RNAcentral is "bacterial SSU rRNA". It matches the Rfam family "Bacterial small subunit ribosomal RNA", at positions 28 to 504 of the family's 1533-position model. The record is from RNAcentral. Lineage: Bacteria; Pseudomonadati; Bacteroidota.